ACUGCGGAAGGAUCAUUGUCGA
RNAcentral lists this ribosomal RNA (22 nucleotides) under Cullen corylifolium. RNAcentral's name for it is "partial 18S ribosomal RNA". Lineage: Eukaryota; Viridiplantae; Streptophyta; Magnoliopsida; Fabales; Fabaceae. The record is from RNAcentral.